Non-coding RNA from Odocoileus virginianus texanus, 1281 nucleotides. NCBI's taxonomy places the organism in Eukaryota, Metazoa, Chordata, Mammalia, Artiodactyla, Cervidae. The record is from RefSeq and is a predicted model, not a curated record.
GAGAGAGGCAGGGGCCAGCCAGGAGGAUCACCUGUAGCUUCUGCCUCCAGCAUGAUCUGGCUUGUGGGGGACACGGCUUGAGACUGACUCCCUGGAGGAAGAAGAGGAGGAGAAAGGAGAAAAACAGAGAGAGUGGGGACGGGAAUCCAGGAAUGACAGGAGAAGAGGGAAGAAAAUCUGUUAUUUGCUGAGCUCCUGCUAUGUUGCAGGCACUUAACACAAGAGCCACCACGUUACUCCCCAUCACCACCCCAGGGGAAUUUCGUGUUCUCAGGCCUCAGUUUAGAGGAGAAGAAGAAGUCCAGAGCGGGUGAGUCGCUCGCUUAAGGGGACACAGCUGUGUGGAACAGGAUCGCGCUUUCGGACUGAGCGCUGUCUGCGACCUCUGCGGACGGCCUCCCACCCAGGAGGCUGCAGGGACCCAGCAGGGAAAAAGGACAAGGUCAGAGGGGUGACAACUGAGAUCCUCCAGGCUGGGAGGCCUGCCUGCUGAGAGGCAGGGAAACCGGACACACAGCUGGGGCUGUGACUGGUGAGAAGCGUGGCCGUGCCUGUGGCCGUGGCUCGUCACCAUGGAAGGACGGAUGCAGGGGCCACAUGGGCUGUGUGCUCAGCAUCCUCCUUUGUGCCGACGCGUGGUCUAGGUACCCACAGCCAACCUGCUAUGUGUGGAGGAUCGCUCUGGUUUCCUGGGAACGUGUUCAUUCAACAAACCGGAACCAGGGCAGACCCUGGGCCAGGGACACACUAGCAUCGACCAGGAGGACAAACACAUUCAACAGACACGUGCAGACUCCCACGUGUGCUGGGAGGGGAGGGGAGCCACCCGACAGGAGGAGAGCCAGACCAGGAGAGGUGAAGGGGGGCCCUCAUCCCCGGGGUCAUGGGCGACUGAGAUGGGAGCUAUGGGCUCAGUACUCUUAGUCCAGUGCUUCCUCUGGGGCCCUGAUGGUUGCCCUGCUGGGCGGAAAAGACAGUAUAACCGAGUCAUAAAUUGUAAGAAUGAGGUGGCAUUGGCCAAACAAUGAUUACUAAACACCGGGUAUAUUUGUCCUAAGAAAUGUUCAUGUUUGGGCUCGUUUAAUUCCCACUCUUUAGCGUAGUUCUGACUAUUAUCCCCAUUUUACAGAUGAUAAAAACUGAGGCACAGAGAGGUCAGGGACCUUGGCCAAGGUUGUUCAGUAAGUGGCAUUGGGAUUUGAACUCAGACGUCUUCCUACCCUGCUAGAGGUCUGAGGAAUGCUUGGGCACAGCUAGGUGUGUCUAGCAAGUGGCCCAAGG